Molecule: ribosomal RNA, 579 nt
Filed under: Stumpffia davidattenboroughi
Lineage: Eukaryota; Metazoa; Chordata; Amphibia; Anura; Microhylidae
Description: partial large subunit ribosomal RNA
Rfam family: Bacterial large subunit ribosomal RNA (bases 12-128)
Source: RNAcentral
AAGUUUGACCCCCCGAAACUAGGCGAGCUACUCUAAAACAGCCCACAGAGCUAACCCAUCCCUGUCGCAAAAGGGUGAGAAGAUUUUAAAGUAGAGGUGACACACCUAUCGAGCCCAGAGAUAGCUGGUUAUUCAAAAAACGGAUUUAAGUCCAACUUUAAGUUUUACAAGUACCACCAAACAACCUACAAACUUAAAAGCCAUUCAAAUAAGGUACAGCCUAUUUGAACAAGGAAACAACCUAUAAUAUAGGGUAAUGUUUACUAACGCGGCUAAGUAGGCCUAAAAGCAGCCACCUUCUAAAAAGCGUCUAAGCUUCCCCUCAAACAAUCCCUAAUCCCCUAAUUAAACCACAACCCUCAACCACCACUGAAUGACCCCAUACCCAUAUGGAAGACAUUAUGUUAGAACUAGUAACAAGAAGAUGAACUUCUCCCAAAUGCAGGUAUAAGCCAAAAUGAACCCCUCCCUGGCACUUAUCGCUUACCAUAGUAUACCACCUCAAGAAUAUUCUACUUCUCCAAGCGCUAACCUUACACCAGAGCAUUACCGGAAGAUUAAAAAAGGGGGAAGGAACUC